This is a long non-coding RNA of Pomacea canaliculata, 2094 nucleotides long. RefSeq lists it as uncharacterized. The transcript is spliced from 2 exons. The record is from RefSeq and is a predicted model, not a curated record. Lineage: Eukaryota; Metazoa; Mollusca; Gastropoda; Architaenioglossa; Ampullariidae.
CGCCCGCGCAUGACGUCACCGAAACUUAAGUAGUGGACAGCAAGCCUCCACAAGCUUUCUAGCCGCGCGUUGUUUUGGUCCGAGUGCACGUUUCAAACCUACAAAAAUGGGGAAUUUUUGCUGUAUUAUUGUCUGCGGUCAUCGCAACAACCGAGACGAAAGUGAAAACCAGAAAAUCCCAAUGUCUUCACAAAUUCUCACUGGAUGCUAAUCAACUUGGGUCACAACAAGGGCAAAAAGAUAAAACCAGAAGAAUUUCAACUCCCCAAACACAGGAACAAAAGAAAUUAUAUGGUAGAUGCCUUGGACAAUUUACAGGAGAUGGAGACUGAGAAGCAGAAUGAAGUGCAAUAUGAUGAGAAAGAGACACAGACAUGAUGGUGGAUUAUUUAAGUAAACUAGAUGAUGUUUUAACUCCAUCUAGAGACCACCGGGUAACCUGCCGGUUCCAAGCCCGGAUGAAGGAGGAGGGUUGGGCAUGGGGCUAGCAACCCCAUCCUGUAAAGAAAACUGCUGCAGAAACUGCAAAAAUAUUAACUGCACAACAAGAGCCUGGACGGGAAGAUCCCUCUUCAGAAGGGCCUAUGAUGCGUGCUGGCGAAAGCCCUCGGGAAGCCAGCUGAUCAACCCAUCUUCUCAAGGCCAAGAAAAAAACCAGGAUAGGGACCUGGAACAUCAGAACCCUGUACGAGAGAGGUAAAUCAGCUCAGGUAGUCCAGGAAAUGAAGAACAUCAAGCUCCUCGGCCUGAGAGGACCAACCAAAAACCUGCCACCCAAGACAUCAAGAAGUGGAAGUGAGGCUGUAUCGGUCACACCUUGCAAAAGCCGGCCAACAAUUUAACAAGACAAGCUCUGGGUUGGAACCCACAGGGGAGGUGCAGGGUUGGGAGACCCAGACAGACAUAAAGGAGAUCAGUCCACAGAGAGGCGGGGACAGCUGGCAUGGCAUGGUCCUAACUGGAAAGGGAUGCCCAGAAUCAUGUCCAAUGGUGGGGUGUGGUUCCGGCCCUAUGCUCCACCGGGGCCAACUAGGAUCAAGAGAGAGAGAUGAUAUUGUCAACCAGUAUACAGCAGGAAAAUGCUACAGUGAAAAAGAAAAUUGACGAAAAAGAUAUACACACCAAAAUUAUUAUCAACAAAAUGCGGACAGAGUUAGGUUCUAUACAAGGUUUCCAAAUAUGGUUGUGCUCUUAGCUUUGGUCAACAUAGUUAAAAAAGACUUGAAAAACAAUUUGCAGUCAAAGUUUCAGUAGGUUGUUUUAACUUUAAUGAGAUUGCAUCUGAAUUUAGCUUUUGAUUUGUUAUCAGAAUUGUUUUUUGUUUCCCAGUGUACAGCAGCCAGAAUAUUUUACGCUAUUCUUAAUGUUUAUAUUUGCAUUUACACCAUUUAGUGUUUUUGGCCUGACAGAGAAAACAUAAGGAAAAACAAUGCCACUCAGCUUUCUAGAAAAUUUUAAAAGAAAGGUGACUAUAAUCACUGAUUGCUUUAAGAUGAGAUUAGAAGAAUCAUCAAAUCUUCAAGCAUAAAACCAGACAUUUUCUAACUACAGAUGUGGAAACACUAUGAAAUUUCACAUUAGUAUUGCACCACAGUGCAUGAUCACUUUCAUUUCCAAGGCACGUGGAGGCAAGACCAGUGACAGACAUAGAACAGAAUAGUUUUUUAAUAUAAUUUGCAUGUUGGUGACCUUGUUUGGGCAGAUGGUUUAAUAGUCAUGAAAGUGGUCUGCAGAAGUUAAAACCCCAGCCUUUACAAGGAUCAAAAAACAACUGCAUUUGGAGUGGAAUCAAAGAUCAAAGCCAAUGGAAUCUAAGCUAAUGUUUGUAUUGGAGUCCACAUUAUCAUUAGUAAGUCUUGAUGAAAAUAAUAUGCCAGCUUUAGACAAGGUGGUGUUUGUCUGCUGUGAUCUAGUUAAUUUGUGUCGUUCUGUUGUUUUGUCUGAUGAAGAAGCCAAGGUCAAAGUAACUGUUUUUAGUAAUGUCGAAAGAGAAUUAAGCACAGGUGGGGGAGACUCCAAAUAAUUAAGGAUAAUUUGCAUUUUGAAAUGUCAAGUGCCCUGUGACAAUUUGAUAUUAACUUACAUUGAUGAUAC